This 484-nucleotide ribosomal RNA is filed under the name uncultured bacterium. RNAcentral describes it as "partial 16S ribosomal RNA". It matches the Rfam family "Bacterial small subunit ribosomal RNA", at positions 30 to 507 of the family's 1533-position model. The record is from RNAcentral.
AUUGAACGCUGGCGGCAGGCCUAACACAUGCAAGUCGAGCGGAUGAAGGGAGCUUGCUCCUGGAUUCAGCGGCGGACGGGUGAGUGAUGCCUAGGAAUCUGCCUGGUAGUGGGGGAUAACGUCCGGAAACGGGCGCUAAUACCGCAUACGUCCUGAGGGAGAAAGUGGGGGAUCUUCGGACCUCACGCUAUCAGAUGAGCCUAGGUCGGAUUAGCUAGUUGGUGGGGUAAAGGCCUACCAAGGCGACGAUCCGUAACUGGUCUGAGAGGAUGAUCAGUCACACUGGAACUGAGACACGGUCCAGACUCCUACGGGAGGCAGCAGUGGGGAAUAUUGGACAAUGGGCGAAAGCCUGAUCGAGCCAUGCCGCGUGUGUGAAGAAGGUCUUCGGAUUGUAAAGCACUUUAAGUUGGGAGGAAGGGCAGUAAGUUAAUACCUUGCUGUUUUGACGUUACCAACAGAAUAAGCACCGGCUAACUUCGUG